GGUUAAGCGACUAAGCGUACACGGUGGAUGCCCUGGCAGUCAGAGGCGAUGAAGGACGUGCUAAUCUGCGAAAAGCGUCGGUAAGGUGAUAUGAACCGUUAUAACCGGCGAUGUCCGAAUGGGGAAACCCAGUGCAAUUCGUUGCACUAUCGUUAACUGAAUACAUAGGGUAACGAGGCGAACCGGGGGAACUGAAACAUCUAAGUACCCCGAGGAAAAGAAAUCAACCGAGAUUCCCCCAGUAGCGGCGAGCGAACGGGGAGCAGCCCAGAGUCUGAAUCAGCUUGUGUGUUAGUGGAACGGUCUGGAAAGUCCGACGGUACAGGGUGAUAGUCCCGUACACCAAAAUGCACAGGUUGUGAACUCGAAGAGUAGGGCGGGACACGUGGUAUCCUGUCUGAAUAUGGGGGGACCAUCCUCCAAGGCUAAAUACUCCUGACUGACCGAUAGUGAACCAGUACCGUGAGGGAAAGGCGAAAAGAACCCCGGCGAGGGGAGUGAAAAAGAACCUGAAACCGUGUACGUACAAGCAGUGGGAGCACCUUCGGGUGUGACUGCGUACCUUUUGUAUAAUGGGUCAGCGACUUAUAUUCUGUAGCAAGGUUAACCGUAUAGGGGAGCCGCAGGGAAACCGAGUCUUAACUGGGCGUUAAGUUGCAGGGUAUAGACCCGAAACCCGGUGAUCUAGCCAUGGGCAGGUUGAAGGUUGGGUAACACUAACUGGAGGACCGAACCGACUAAUGUUGAAAAAUUAGCGGAUGACUUGUGGCUGGGGGUGAAAGGCCAAUCAAACCGGGAGAUAGCUGGUUCUCCCCGAAAGCUAUUUAGGUAGCGCCUCGUGAAUUCAUCUUCGGGGGUAGAGCACUGUUUCGGCUAGGGGGUCAUCCCGACUUACCAACCCGAUGCAAACUACGAAUACCGAAGAAUGUUAUCACGGGAGACACACGGCGGGUGCUAACGUCCGUCGUGAAGAGGGAAACAACCCAGACCGCCAGCUAAGGUCCCAAAGUCAUGGUUAAGUGGGAAACGAUGUGGGAAGGCACAGACAGCCAGGAUGUUGGCUUAGAAGCAGCCAUCAUUUAAAGAAAGCGUAAUAGCUCACUGGUCGAGUCGGCCUGCGCGGAAGAUGUAACGGGGCUAAACCAUGCACCGAAGCUGCGGCAGCGACACUAUGUGUUGUUGGGUAGGGGAGCGUUCUGUAAGCCUGCGAAGGUGACCUGUGAGGGUUGCUGGAGGUAUCAGAAGUGCGAAUGCUGACAUAAGUAACGAUAAAGCGGGUGAAAAGCCCGCUCGCCGGAAGACCAAGGGUUCCUGUCCAACGUUAAUCGGGGCAGGGUGAGUCGACCCCUAAGGCGAGGCCGAAAGGCGUAGUCGAUGGGAAACAGGUUAAUAUUCCUGUACUUGGUGUUACUGCGAAGGGGGGACGGAGAAGGCUAUGUUAGCCGGGCGACGGUUGUCCCGGUUUAAGCAUGUAGGCUGAUUGUCCAGGCAAAUCCGGAUAAUCAAGGCUGAGGUGUGAUGACGAGGCACUACGGUGCUGAAGUAACAAAUGCCCUGCUUCCAGGAAAAGCCUCUAAGCAUCAGGUAACAUCAAAUCGUACCCCAAACCGACACAGGUGGUCAGGUAGAGAAUACCAAGGCGCUUGAGAGAACUCGGGUGAAGGAACUAGGCAAAAUGGUGCCGUAACUUCGGGAGAAGGCACGCUGGUGUGUAGGUGAAGUCCCUGCGGAUGGAGCUGAGACCAGUCGAAGAUACCAGCUGGCUGCAACUGUUUAUUAAAAACACAGCACUGUGCAAACACGAAAGUGGACGUAUACGGUGUGACGCCUGCCCGGUGCCGGAAGGUUAAUUGAUGGGGUUAUCCGUAAGGAGAAGCUCUUGAUCGAAGCCCCGGUAAACGGCGGCCGUAACUAUAACGGUCCUAAGGUAGCGAAAUUCCUUGUCGGGUAAGUUCCGACCUGCACGAAUGGCGUAAUGAUGGCCAGGCUGUCUCCACCCGAGACUCAGUGAAAUUGAACUCGCUGUGAAGAUGCAGUGUACCCGCGGCAAGACGGAAAGACCCCGUGAACCUUUACUAUAGCUUGACACUGAACAUUGAGCCUUGAUGUGUAGGAUAGGUGGGAGGCUUUGAAGCGUGGACGCCAGUCUGCGUGGAGCCAACCUUGAAAUACCACCCUUUAAUGUUUGAUGUUCUAACGUUGGCCCCUUAUCGGGGUUGCGGACAGUGUCUGGUGGGUAGUUUGACUGGGGCGGUCUCCUCCCAAAGCGUAACGGAGGAGCACGAAGGUUAGCUAAUCCUGGUCGGACAUCAGGAGGUUAGUGCAAUGGCAUAAGCUAGCUUGACUGCGAGCGUGACGGCGCGAGCAGGUGCGAAAGCAGGUCAUAGUGAUCCGGUGGUUCUGAAUGGAAGGGCCAUCGCUCAACGGAUAAAAGGUACUCCGGGGAUAACAGGCUGAUACCGCCCAAGAGUUCAUAUCGACGGCGGUGUUUGGCACCUCGAUGUCGGCUCAUCACAUCCUGGGGCUGAAGUAGGUCCCAAGGGUAUGGCUGUUCGCCAUUUAAAGUGGUACGCGAGCUGGGUUUAGAACGUCGUGAGACAGUUCGGUCCCUAUCUGCCGUGGGCGCUGGAGAAUUGAGGGGGGCUGCUCCUAGUACGAGAGGACCGGAGUGGACGCAUCACUGGUGUUCGGGUUGUCAUGCCAAUGGCACUGCCCGGUAGCUAAAUGCGGAAGAGAUAAGUGCUGAAAGCAUCUAAGCACGAAACUUGCCCCGAGAUGAGUUCUCCCUGAGACUUUAAGUCUCCUGAAGGAACGUUGAAGACGACGACGUUGAUAGGCCGGGUGUGUAAGCGCAGCGAUGCGUUGAGCUAACCGGUACUAAUGAACCGUGAGGCUUAACCUU
RNAcentral lists this ribosomal RNA (2902 nucleotides) under Klebsiella pneumoniae. RNAcentral's name for it is "23S ribosomal RNA". It matches the Rfam family "Bacterial large subunit ribosomal RNA". The record is from RNAcentral. Lineage: Bacteria; Pseudomonadati; Pseudomonadota; Gammaproteobacteria; Enterobacterales; Enterobacteriaceae.